UUGGAGGGCAAGUCUGGUGCCAGCAGCCGCGGUAAUUCCAGCUCCAAUAGCGUAUAUUAAAGUUGUUGCAGUUAAAAAGCUCGUAGUUGAAUUUCGGGAUUGACGUGAUGGUCAUGCCUUAAGGGGUAUGAACUGUUACUGUUGAUCUCUCACCUUCUGGAGAAACUUGAUGUCCUUUAUUGGGUGUCUUGCGGAUCCAGGACCUUUACCUUGAAAAAAUUAGAGUGUUUAAAGCAGGCAUUUUUGCUCGAAUACAUUAGCAUGGAAUAAUAGAAUAGGACGGCAUGGCUCUAUUUUGUUGGUUUCUAGGAUCACCGUAAUGAUUAAUAGGGAUAGUUGGGGGCAUUAGUAUUCAAUUGUCAGAGGUGAAAUUCUUGGAUUUAUUGAAGACUAACUACUGCGAAAGCAUUUGCCAAGGAUGUUUUCAUUAAUCAAGAACGAAAGUUAGGGGAUCGAAGACGAUCAGAUACCGUCGUAGUCUUAACCAUAAACUAUGCCGACUAGGAAUCAGACGAUGUUAAUUUUUGAAUGACUCGUUUGGCACCUUACGGGAAACCAAAGUGUUUGGGUUC
Molecule: ribosomal RNA, 572 nt
Filed under: uncultured Glomeromycotina
Lineage: Eukaryota; Fungi; Glomeromycota
Description: SSU rRNA
Rfam family: Eukaryotic small subunit ribosomal RNA
Source: RNAcentral